UGGUGGUGGUAGGGAUUGAGCAGGCAGCAACCGUGGUGGGGUUAUUUUAUCUGUUACGGAUUUCAUGCUCCGUGUUUCGAUUGAAGGUGCGGCUUUUUGGGUUUCAUUUCGUCUUCCACAUGAUCGUCCUUCGGUUUUCCUAGUUGUAAGUGUUGGUAAUCAUGAUUGUGAAGUAAUACUUUUGUGAUAUCUGACAAGAGGUGAAGAACCCUAAUUAGAGAAAGAGAGAGAUUGGAUUACGG
Long non-coding RNA from Helianthus annuus (common sunflower), 242 nucleotides. RefSeq lists it as uncharacterized. The record is from RefSeq and is a predicted model, not a curated record. The transcript is spliced from 3 exons. Lineage: Eukaryota; Viridiplantae; Streptophyta; Magnoliopsida; Asterales; Asteraceae.